CUCGCAGGGCGGUUUCUUAAGUCUGAUGUGAAAGCCCCCGGCUCAACCGGGGAGGGUCAUUGGAAACUGGGGAACUUGAGUGCAGAAGAGGAGAGUGGAAUUCCACGUGUAGCGGUGAAAUGCGUAGAGAUGUGGAGGAACACCAGUGGCGAAGGCGACUCUCUGGUCUGUAACUGACGCUGAGGAGCGAAAGCGUGGGGAGCGAACAGGAUUAGAUACCCUGGUAGUCCACGCCGUAAACGAUGAGUGCUAAGUGUUAGGGGGUUUCCGCCCCUUAGUGCUGCAGCUAACGCAUUAAGCACUCCGCCUGGGGAGUACGGUCGCAAGACUGAAACUCAAAGGAAUUGACGGGGGCCCGCACAAGCGGUGGAGCAUGUGGUUUAAUUCGAAGCAACGCGAAGAACCUUACCAGGUCUUGACAUCCUCUGACGGUCCUAGAGAUAGGACGUCCCCUUCGGGGGCAGAGUGACAGGUGGUGCAU
RNAcentral lists this ribosomal RNA (481 nucleotides) under Bacillus amyloliquefaciens. RNAcentral's name for it is "bacterial SSU rRNA". It matches the Rfam family "Bacterial small subunit ribosomal RNA", at positions 568 to 1046 of the family's 1533-position model. Lineage: Bacteria; Bacillati; Bacillota; Bacilli; Caryophanales; Bacillaceae. The record is from RNAcentral.